RNAcentral lists this ribosomal RNA (253 nucleotides) under uncultured bacterium. Its description in RNAcentral is "partial 16S ribosomal RNA". It matches the Rfam family "Bacterial small subunit ribosomal RNA", at positions 524 to 776 of the family's 1533-position model. The record is from RNAcentral.
UACGGAGGGGGCUAGCGUUGUUCGGAAUUAUUGGGCGUAAAGGGCGCGUAGGCGGCCGAAUAAGUCUGACGUGAAAUCCCACGGCCCAACCGUGGAACUGCGUUUGAUACUGUUCGGCUCGAGUCCGGGAGAGGGUAGCGGAAUUCCCAGUGUAGCGGUGAAAUGCGUAGAUAUUGGGAGGAACACCGGUGGCGAAGGCGGCUACCUGGACCGGUACUGACGCUGAGGCGCGAAAGCGUGGGGAGCGAACAGG